Molecule: ribosomal RNA, 395 nt
Filed under: uncultured bacterium
Lineage: Bacteria
Description: partial 16S ribosomal RNA
Rfam family: Bacterial small subunit ribosomal RNA
Source: RNAcentral
AUACGUAGGGUGCAAGCGUUAAUCGGAAUUACUGGGCGUAAAGCGUGCGCAGGCGGUUUUGUAAGACAGAGGUGAAAUCCCCGGGCUCAACCUGGGAACUGCCUUUGUGACUGCAAGGCUGGAGUGCGGCAGAGGGGGAUGGAAUUCCGCGUGUAGCAGUGAAAUGCGUAGAUAUGCGGAGGAACACCGAUGGCGAAGGCAAUCCCCUGGGCCUGCACUGACGCUCAUGCACGAAAGCGUGGGAAGAAAACAGGAUUAGAUACCCUGGUAUUCCACGCCCUAAACGAUGUCAACUGGUUGUUGGGGAUUUAUUUUCUCAGUAACGAAGCUAACGCGUGAAGUUGACCGCCUGGGGAGUACGGCCGCAAGGUUAAAACUCAAAUGAAUUGACGGGG